Callithrix jacchus (white-tufted-ear marmoset) is the source of this 897-nucleotide long non-coding RNA. RefSeq lists it as uncharacterized. NCBI's taxonomy places the organism in Eukaryota, Metazoa, Chordata, Mammalia, Primates, Cebidae. The record is from RefSeq and is a predicted model, not a curated record.
GUAGGCUCAAAAAAGGGGACUUCAGCAGAGUAACAAAAUGACUGGCAUUAUUUCAGCCUAAAUUACAACAGCCAAAUUCAUCCAGGAAAUUUGCUGUCUGAGCAGAGAGUAAAUGGAAAGGAGUAGGAAAAGGAACGCAGGGGCUGCCCUGGAUAAUCGGUGUGCGGUUGCCUGACAGCCCGCUGGAGCCAUCUCUUCUUGAGCCUGAUGAAUUUUCUCCAGUCAGCACUGUGAAACUGUCAAUGAGUAGACACAGAGCCUCAGAAUUGAAGCUUCCUGAGAAGAGAACAUCCUGAAGAUUGUUUGAACUGGAUUACUAUUUUUUUUAAUGCAUGAUGACUCAACCCUGUGUGUUCAUUGCAAACACAAACAGGGUUGAAUUUUAAGGGUGUGCCUGGUUAAACAUCUUGUGCACAGCCUCUGUAUUAAGACUAACACCUGGCUAGAAGCUGCAGUUUAUUUUGUGUGGAGUGUUUAGUUUUCACAUAGAAUAGAAUUGAGGGAAAAAAAGCAGUUAAAUAAGGUAAACGGGUAUUACAUCAGGCAUAUCCUUAUGUGUCAUACAUUUUUAACAUACAGGACAUUAUGGAGACAAUUAGCAAAACUUAAAUGGGGUGUGAAGAUUAGAGGGCAGUAAUGUAUCAUUGUUAAUAUCUUGAUUUUGACGGUUGUAUUGUCGUUAUUUUGGGCACAUACCAUAUACAAAGGUCUAUGGAGUACGGAAAAACAGUACCAGAAUGACUCCAAGUUGCUUACCAUGUAACAGAAAAGCUAUCAGGUGCAUGUAAAACAUGAAGAAAAAUAUAAUGCACACUGUCAUAAGGGCCAAACACAAAACAAAAACUGUAGUUCUCAGCAUUUUCCCCAUCAAUGACCACAUUAAUACUUACUCUUAAA